RNAcentral lists this transfer RNA (76 nucleotides) under Acidocella sp. 20-61-6. RNAcentral describes it as "tRNA-Thr". It matches the Rfam family "tRNA". Rfam says of the family: Transfer RNA (tRNA) molecules are approximately 80 nucleotides in length. Their secondary structure includes four short double-helical elements and three loops (D, anti-codon, and T loops). Lineage: Bacteria; Pseudomonadati; Pseudomonadota; Alphaproteobacteria; Acetobacterales; Acidocellaceae. The record is from RNAcentral.
GCGGUUGUAGUUCAAUGGCAGAACGACAGGUUGGUACCCAGGAGAUAAGAGUUCGAUUCUCUUCAAUCGCCCACCA